UGGGGAAUUUUGGACAAUGGGGGCAACCCUGAUCCAGCAAUGCCGCGUGAGUGAAGAAGGCCUUCGGGUUGUAAAGCUCUUUUGUCCGGGAAGAAAGGGUUACUUCGAAUAAAGGUAAUCGAUGACGGUACCGGAAGAAUAAGCACCGGCUAACUACGUGCCAGCAGCCGCGGUAAUACGUAGGGUGCAAGCGUUAAUCGGAAUUACUGGGCGUAAAGCGUGCGCAGGCGGUUAUGUAAGUCAGAUGUGAAAUCCCCGGGCUUAACCUGGGAAUGGCAUUUGAGACUGCAUGGCUAGAGUGUGUCAGAGGGGGGUAGAAUUCCACGUGUAGCAGUGAAAUGCGUAGAGAUGUGGAGGAAUACCGAUGGCGAAGGCAGCCCCCUGGGAUAACACUGACGCUCAUGCACGAAAGCGUGGGGAGCAAACAGGAUUAGAUACCCCCGUAGUCC
RNAcentral lists this ribosomal RNA (449 nucleotides) under uncultured bacterium. RNAcentral's name for it is "bacterial SSU rRNA". It matches the Rfam family "Bacterial small subunit ribosomal RNA", at positions 355 to 796 of the family's 1533-position model. The record is from RNAcentral.